GACACUAUGCAGUCGUUGAUUGGUUUGUUUGGAGAAACAAAAGUGGGUGACCAGUGCUAUUGCUUUCGAUUGACACUACCAGCACGGUAUGAAUUCAAUAAUGAUUUUCCUCAUAAAAUUGCCAGGAGGGUUUAGUUACUCAAUUACAGAUGUCUAUUAGGGCAAAGGCGUUCACUACAGCUAGACUGCGCAAGGAUCCAAAGUCACUAUCAACUGACGGCUGGAAUAGCAGGGAAAUUAGCCAGUGAUGGCUUUGUGCAAGCAUUAUUCAUCUCACGUCUGGACACAGAGGGACAAAUUACGAAGAUAAAAGAUUGACGAGAUGAUUGACCGAGAGGAGAACAAAAGCCCCACAGGCAUCUUAAGAGGGAUGAGGACAUGCACAGCUAUCUGAAGAAACACACACACACACACACAACUUGCCAUGUUGUGUGUGUUGUUGCAGCUAUUGUCAAUGGAAUCGGAUGAAAGUGUCAGUCGGAUGCUGAUACAUGGAGGGGAGACUUGCCCAUUUUAUGGUUUAGCCUUCUUGAGGCAGCACUCUAAAAAAUUUUAAUGAAAAGAAAGGCAAGAUACAAUAUGUCUGGCUGUCAAAUAGAUCUCAAAAUGCAUUCAAACAGUUGAUAGUGGAAUACAGUACAUUAACAUUUUUGGGGGGCAAAGAAAACUCUCAAAAUUUGGACAUUGCCUAGUGAUCACUGGCAGAGCCAGGAAUUUUUCCAUUGGGUGGCCAGCAGGUGGCCCGAAAAUUACUGGGUUGCCACGAAAUUUGUCGGCACUACUGUUUUGGUUAGCAACCAAGUAAAACCACUAGCUUUCCGCAACAUAAACGUGGAUGCACACAACCCAGUGGAGUAACCACAUCAGUCUACUAGAACAUUAACCACUGUUAAACAGACUCCCCAUUUCAUCUGAGAGUUUACUGUAUGCGUCUCUGUUCAUGCACUGUUUUGAUUAACAAGAGAGUAAAAAUGUCAGUUCCCUGUAACAAAGAUGAAUGGACACAAAACUGCACUCCUUUGUAGGUAGUUGCUGCUGUUGUGGUUAGCAACUGAGUUCAAAUAGGCACAGGAGUUAACUCUCUUGUUCGUGUGUGAAGAAUAGUGUGACGUAAUUACACUUAGUACACAUUUUAACCUUCACCGCUUGGCAUGAGCGCCCAUUUAGUAAUUGAAUUUUUGUUUGAAAAAAAACAACAACAGUAAAAACAUUAACUCCCCAGAAUAGAAGGCUCCAGCUCGCCCGUGACCUUUAUGAGGACAAGUGCCAUAGAAAAGGGAGUCACAUGGUCAUGGAGGGCAACCCAAAACCUCCUGCACUGGCUCAGACAGAGUGAGGAUCGCUUUACAGCUGGAUUCCAAUCUCAAAGCCACUCACAUGGCGGCUGAUGAGGGGGGAACCAGAAUGCUUUCCCAUGGAUUGGUCGACAUAAAUCAAGUCCUCGCCCACAGCGCACAGAGGUGUCCUUUUACACGCAGAUCUCCAUGGGGGGAGAUCCCAUUCCUUGCAUUAGUUCUGCCACAUGUCCUUCACUUCUAUGUGUAAUGACAGCAGUUGACUGUGUCCGUAGAAGGACUGCUUUUUGCGAAGAUCACUUCCUUAUGAGUGUCAAGAGGAGAAAAUACAGUGGAAACUGUGUAUUUGUUCAGUAAAUG
Phyllopteryx taeniolatus (common seadragon) is the source of this 1655-nucleotide long non-coding RNA. RefSeq lists it as uncharacterized. The record is from RefSeq and is a predicted model, not a curated record. The transcript is spliced from 3 exons. Lineage: Eukaryota; Metazoa; Chordata; Actinopteri; Syngnathiformes; Syngnathidae.